This 332-nucleotide long non-coding RNA is filed under the name Helianthus annuus (common sunflower). RNAcentral's name for it is "sRNA HanXRQr2_Chr06g0241861". Lineage: Eukaryota; Viridiplantae; Streptophyta; Magnoliopsida; Asterales; Asteraceae. The record is from RNAcentral.
CCACAUUAACAAACACAAAAAUCUGCAAAUCAAAAGGGAAAUCAAGGUGAUUCCAUUUCUUUUUGAGGAAAUUUGAUUAUCUAACAUCAAGCAAACUUAAGUGUUAUGGCAACUCAAGUGACACACCGGUAGACCAAACGGGAAAGGAUACUUGUCUCAAAGGGAAGCUUUAAGGCAAACUAAACAUGAGGCACUGGAUGGAAGACCAAGCUACUCAAAGAACCGAACAUACCCAAAUGCCUACUAAUUUCUGUCUUUUUUCUUGUUCAUGUUUCUGUAAAAUGUUAAAAUGAUGACUUGUGGUUUGAGUCAAACCAUUACACUACUUUUGU